This 391-nucleotide ribosomal RNA is filed under the name uncultured bacterium. RNAcentral describes it as "bacterial SSU rRNA". It matches the Rfam family "Bacterial small subunit ribosomal RNA", at positions 28 to 423 of the family's 1533-position model. The record is from RNAcentral.
GACGAACGCUGGCGGCGUGCUUAACACAUGCAAGUCGAACGGCAGCACGGGGCAACCUGGUGGCGAGUGGCGAACGGGUGAGUAAUACAUCGGAACGUGCCCAAUCGUGGGGGAUAACGUAGCGAAAGUUACGCUAAUACCGCAUACGAUCUACGGAUGAAAGCGGGGGAUCGCAAGACCUCGCGCGAUUGGAGCGGCCGAUGUCAGAUUAGGUAGUUGGUGGGGUAAAGGCUCACCAAGCCGACGAUCUGUAGCUGGUCUGAGAGGACGACCAGCCACACUGGGACUGAGACACGGCCCAGACUCCUACGGGAGGCAGCAGUGGGGAAUUUUGGACAAUGGGCGCAAGCCUGAUCCAGCCAUUCCGCGUGCAGGAUGAAGGCCUUCGGUU